RNAcentral lists this ribosomal RNA (429 nucleotides) under Pseudomonadota bacterium. RNAcentral's name for it is "Proteobacteria bacterium partial 16S ribosomal RNA". It matches the Rfam family "Bacterial small subunit ribosomal RNA", at positions 355 to 776 of the family's 1533-position model. The record is from RNAcentral. Lineage: Bacteria; Pseudomonadati; Pseudomonadota.
UGGGGAAUAUUGGACAGUGGGCGAAAGCCUGAUCCAGCCAUGCCGCGUGUGUGAAGAAGGUCUUCGGAUUGUAAAGCACUUUAAGUUGGGAGGAAGGGCAGUAAGCGAAUACCUUGCUGUUUUGACGUUACCGACAGAAUAAGCACCGGCUAACUCUGUGCCAGCAGCCGCGGUAAUACAGAGGGUGCAAGCGUUAAUCGGAAUUACUGGGCGUAAAGCGCGCGUAGGUGGUUCGUUAAGUUGAAUGUGAAAGCCCCGGGCUCAACCUGGGAACUGCAUCCAAAGCUGGCGAGCUAGAGUAGGGCAGAGGGUGGUGGAAUUUCCUGUGUAGCGGUGAAAUGCGUAGAUAUAGGAAGGAACACCAGUGGCGAAGGCAACCACCUGGGCUCAUACUGACACUGAGGUGCGAAAGCGUGGGGAGCAAACAGG